Passer montanus (Eurasian tree sparrow) is the source of this 1031-nucleotide long non-coding RNA. RefSeq lists it as uncharacterized. NCBI's taxonomy places the organism in Eukaryota, Metazoa, Chordata, Aves, Passeriformes, Passeridae. The transcript has 3 exons. The record is from RefSeq and is a predicted model, not a curated record.
GAAUUUAUUUGUAUUUCCACUCAAAUGUUACCCUGGAAGAAAACCCCAGUUCCUGUGAAGCUGUGAAGCCUGGGACUGCAGGGUCCCUCCUGGGUGGCCCUGGCUGCUGCCAGGCAGCAUUACUGACUAAGUGAACACCUUGUCCCUGAACAAAGGUGAAGGAUGGCCAGGUUGGAUGGGGCUCUGAGCAACCUGGUCUAGUUGGUGUCCCUGCCCAUGGGGGGGUUUGGAACUGGAUGAUCUUCAAGGUCCCCCUUCCAACCAUUCCAUGAAAGAUCUUUAUCUCCUUAUGGUGUAAAUCAGAGAUUUACCAUAAAAUGUUUGUAUGGUAGCGGCACAAAUAGCAACUGGAUGGCCCUUAGGAAGGUAGUGGACUUCACGCGUUUCAACAUGCAGCCACUCACGUUUGCUGUUUGAAUCCUUCUGGGCUGUCCAUAGUGCCCUGAUCCUUUUUCCUUUUCAGUAAAUUCUCCUCUUCAUUACAUGAGGGUGGGGGUCAGAUCAAGUGGUGGGGAGCUAGAAAACAGGGACUUGUGCUAUUUACAUUUAAGACAUUUCUGGCCCCACCAGCUGUUCCAUGUGUGUUAUUUUCAGAAGGGCAAUAAUCCACAGGAGGUCAAGAGGGUGGAAUUGUGUGAAUAUACUGGGUGGAGGAAAUCAAGAUGCUUGGGAGUACCCAGGCCUUGUCAUGACCAAGAGUCUGGAUCCCAGAUGAUUCUGGCUGGGAGAACUCAAGGAGAUUUCUGAAAGUGCUGCACAGCUGGGUGUUUGUUAGCUGUUUUCAAGAUGUCAUCUGUGUUUACACUGCUGGCAGGACCACCUGUUCUUUUUUUGAACAAUAAUAUGUGUGUGUGUGUAUAUAUAUUACUGCAUUUCUGCAUUUAUUUUUAGCCCUUUCUAAAAGCCCCCGACAGGUUUGAAAGAUGCUGUGGAUUGUGAAUGGUGCCUGGCGGCAUUGCUCACAUUGAUGGUUGUCAGAAUUUCCAUGCCAAUCUCUGCUUUGAAAGGUUUAUAACUUGUUCCUUCUAUUC